AUGAAACUGGCUAACCUAAUGAGGGGUUAUAUAUUACAAGUAAAUCAGGGGGUAGGGAUAAUUAUUAAAUACAACAUUAAUGUAUAUGUCUUUGAGUGCAAUUUUUUUUCUUUUAUAAACCUGACAGUGAGAAAAGGAAGAAACGUCCAUGCUAAUUCAUCAUAUAUUCUAAUACACUUCAGCCACAGAAUAAAGAAACCAUGCCAGUUGCUGCUACUGCAGACAGAGAGCGAAGAAAUCCUCUACGAGCCCCAUGGGUUUACAGAAGUCUAUCCAUCACUCUGUCAGUCUUCCGGAUCAUUAUUCAAGUUGCUAUCCCCAAUUUUGCUGGAUAUAUCAGAUCAACUCCAGCUCCAUAGAUGGACAGUGUGUUUUCUUCCUAUUUUUAAAGACCGCAAAGAGGAAAACUGAUGAAUAUUAUAAGGACACACUGGAAAGUGCAUUGUUACUAUGGCAAUAAAAAAGAGAACAAAUGUCA
Molecule: long non-coding RNA, 478 nt
Filed under: Vulpes vulpes (red fox)
Lineage: Eukaryota; Metazoa; Chordata; Mammalia; Carnivora; Canidae
Description: lncRNA (ENSVVUG00000005820.1)
Source: RNAcentral